AAAACACCAAUGGGUUUUAUAAAACAGUAUUGACAUGUUGGCUCGAUUUGUUUCGAAGGUGUAAAUAAAAUAACUAAUAUUUUGUGGUCUGAAAAAUCAAUAGAUUAAUGUCUAAAAAAAAUAAUGAACCGACAGAAAACUCUGAGAUCUGUCCAAGCCGAUGUUUCUUCUUUUCUGUUCGAAGAAAGAAAGUCAAUUGAGUUAUGAGCGUUUUUGCAUCCAAUCCAGGCUAAAAUCGAUCCGUGCAAGGCUCGUUUUAAGCAAAUAUGAUUAUAGGCGGAGACUUUUAGCACAACCGGACGAAGUAAAGUGGAGUACCGACUUUGGAUAAAAUACAACAAAGUUGGAUGAAGCAUGAAGUCUAAAACAGUAAAGAUAUAAUGGAGUCUUAGAUUUUAUCACCCUGCAUUAUAUUGUUGUGUAUAAUAGAAAACACCUACUAAUCAACUGAUUAUGUCUACAUGUUGCAUAGAUUUUAUCACCCUGCAUUAUAAAAAUAUAAUAGAGCUAUAAUAUGUGCCUUUUUUGUCAAAAUAUUCAGUAUAGAAAUAGAAUGAUUUGAUUACCUUUGAAUCAGCAAAGAUGAUUUCGAGAGAUUCACCAAAGGAUGUGUUGAAUUGUAAUACACCAGUCGCUUCUGCGAUGCUUCAUGUGUGAAAGGGUUAUGCUUUGGAAUCGAAGCUUUUGUUGAAUUUCUAAUGGCAAGCAUGGUGAUGAAUUUAAUAUGGUGAUGAAUAGAGGAAAACGACAUGAAAUAUAUAUCAGCAAAAGAAAAAUACAGCUACUGUACGGGUGGAAUAGAAUAAUAACUAUGUAAUGGUGAUGAAUAGAGGCAAACGACUUGAAGUAUAUAUCAACAAAAGAAAAAUACAGCUAUGGUAUGGUGAAAUAUAAUAACAGAUAUAUUAUGUAAUGAUAGAAUAAUAGCUAUAUUGAUGUA
Molecule: long non-coding RNA, 940 nt
Organism: Raphanus sativus (radish)
Lineage: Eukaryota; Viridiplantae; Streptophyta; Magnoliopsida; Brassicales; Brassicaceae
Exons: 4
Source: RefSeq, a predicted model, not a curated record